RNAcentral lists this ribosomal RNA (275 nucleotides) under uncultured bacterium. RNAcentral describes it as "partial 16S ribosomal RNA". It matches the Rfam family "Bacterial small subunit ribosomal RNA", at positions 399 to 691 of the family's 1533-position model. The record is from RNAcentral.
GCGUGAGUGAUGACGGCCUUAGGGUUGUAAAGCUCUUUCAAUGGCGAAGAUAAUGACGGUAACCAUAGAAGAAGCCCCGGCUAAUUUCGUGCCAGCAGCCGCGGUAAUACGAAAGGGGCUAGCGUUGUUCGGAAUUACUGGGCGUAAAGCGCGCGUAGGCGGCAUAGCAAGUUGGAGGUGAAAUCCCAGAGCUCAACUCUGGAACUGCCUUCAAAACUGCUAAGCUAGAGUGCGGAAGAGGAGAGUGGAAUUCCUAGUGUAGAGGUGAAAUUCGU